RNAcentral lists this ribosomal RNA (492 nucleotides) under uncultured bacterium. RNAcentral describes it as "partial 16S ribosomal RNA". It matches the Rfam family "Bacterial small subunit ribosomal RNA", at positions 29 to 507 of the family's 1533-position model. The record is from RNAcentral.
AGUGAACGCUGGCGGUAGGCCUAACACAUGCAAGUCGAACGGCAGCACAGUAAGAGCUUGCUCUUACGGGUGGCGAGUGGCGGACGGGUGAGGAAUACAUCGGAAUCUACUUUUUCGUGGGGGAUAACGUAGGGAAACUUCCGCUAAUACCUCAUACGACCUACGGGUGAAAUCAGGGGAUCUUCGGACCUUGCGCGAUUGAAUGAGCCGAUGCCGGAUUGGCUAGGUGGGAGGGUAAAGGCCCACCAAGGCAACGAUGCGUAGCUGACCUGAGAGGAUGAUCGGCCACACUGGAGCUGAGACGAGGUCCCGACGCCGACGGGAGGCAGCGGUAGGGAAUCUUCCGCAAUGGGCGCAAGCCUGACGGAGCAACGCCGCGGGAGUGAUGAAGGUCUUCGGAUCGUAAAACUCUGUUAUUAGGGAAGAAAAUAUGUGUAAGUAACUGUGCACAUCUUGACGGUACCUAAUCAGAAAGCCACGGCUAACUACGUG